GGCGAGCGAAAGCGGAUGAGGCUAAACCGAUUGCAUGCCAAGCCGGCAGGCGUUGUGCAGUCGGGGUCGUGGGACGACUCAGUUGGUUCUGCCGAAUCAACGGGGAGUUAGAAAGCCAUGUGUUAGUGGAAGGCCUCUGGAAGGGGUCGCCGUAGAGGGUGAGAGCCCCGUACACGAAAACUCAUGGCCUCCCGAGUUGUAUCCCAAGUAGCACCGAGCCCGUGAAAUUCGGUGUGAAUCUGGCGGGACCACCCGCUAAGCCUAAAUACUCCCUGGUGACCGAUAGCGGACAAGUACCGUGAGGGAAAGGUGAAAAGUACCCCGGGAGGGGAGUGAAAUAGUACCUGAAACCGUGUGCCUACAAGCCGUGAGAGCCUUAUGCGCACUUGUGCGUGGGGGUGAUUGCGUGCCUUUUGAAGAAUGAGCCUGCGAGUUAGCGGUACGUGGCGAGGUUAACCCGUGUGGGG
RNAcentral lists this ribosomal RNA (467 nucleotides) under Modestobacter sp. VKM Ac-2986. Its description in RNAcentral is "partial 23S ribosomal RNA". It matches the Rfam family "Bacterial large subunit ribosomal RNA", at positions 248 to 662 of the family's 2925-position model. Lineage: Bacteria; Bacillati; Actinomycetota; Actinomycetes; Geodermatophilales; Geodermatophilaceae. The record is from RNAcentral.